Molecule: transfer RNA, 85 nt
Filed under: Felis catus (domestic cat)
Lineage: Eukaryota; Metazoa; Chordata; Mammalia; Carnivora; Felidae
Rfam family: tRNA
About the family: Transfer RNA (tRNA) molecules are approximately 80 nucleotides in length. Their secondary structure includes four short double-helical elements and three loops (D, anti-codon, and T loops).
Source: Rfam by way of RNAcentral
GCCUGGGUGGCUCAGUCAGUUGAGCAUCUGACUGCGGCUCAGGUCCCGAGCUUGCCGUUCGUGAGUUCGAGCCCCGCGUCGGGCU